This 478-nucleotide ribosomal RNA is filed under the name uncultured bacterium. RNAcentral's name for it is "partial 16S ribosomal RNA". It matches the Rfam family "Bacterial small subunit ribosomal RNA", at positions 28 to 523 of the family's 1533-position model. The record is from RNAcentral.
GACGAACGCUGGCGGCGUGCUUAACACAUGCAAGUCGAACGGUAAGGCCCUUCGGGGUACACGAGUGGCGAACGGGUGAGUAACACGUGGGUGAUCUGCCCUGCACUUCGGGAUAAGCCUGGGAAACUGGGUCUAAUACCGGAUAGGACCACUGCCUGCAUGGGUGGUGGUGGAAAGCUUUUGCGGUGCGGGAUGGGCCCGCGGCCUAUCAGCUUGUUGGUGGGGUGAUGGCCUACCAAGGCGACGACGGGUAGCCGGCCGGAGGGGGUGACCGGCCACACUGGGACUGAGAUACGGCCCAGACUCCUACGGGAGGCAGCAGUGGGGAAUAUUGCACAAGGGGCGCAAGCCUGAUGCAGCGACGCCGCGUGAGGGAUGACGGCCUUCGGGUUGUAAACCUCUUUCAGCACCGACGAAGCGCAAGUGACGGUAGGUGCAGAAGAAGGACCGGCCAACUACGUGCCAGCAGCCGCCGCGG